This 150-nucleotide small RNA is filed under the name Arabidopsis thaliana (thale cress). Its description in RNAcentral is "ATSL252170". Lineage: Eukaryota; Viridiplantae; Streptophyta; Magnoliopsida; Brassicales; Brassicaceae. The record is from RNAcentral.
UUGUAUAUAACUCAUGUAUCAUUCAUUAAAUGUAAAGAAUAGAAUCUAUUUUCAUCGCCUCUCAUCUUCUUCCUCUCAACAUCAUCUUCUUCAUCCAUCCUUUUUCCUUCAUCGUUUCUGUUCGUGUUUCACUAAUAGAAAUUGAUGAUA